This 497-nucleotide ribosomal RNA is filed under the name uncultured bacterium. RNAcentral's name for it is "partial 16S ribosomal RNA". It matches the Rfam family "Bacterial small subunit ribosomal RNA", at positions 28 to 507 of the family's 1533-position model. The record is from RNAcentral.
GAUGAACGCUGGCGGCGUGCCUAAUACAUGCAAGUCGAGCGAACAGACGAGGAGCUUGCUCCUCUGACGUUAGCGGCGGACGGGUGAGUAACACGUGGAUAACCUACCUAUAAGACUGGGAUAACUUCGGGAAACCGGAGCUAAUACCGGAUAACAUGUUGAACCGCAUGGUUCAACAGUGAAAGACGGUCUUGCUGUCACUUAUAGAUGGAUCCGCGCCGCAUUAGCUAGUUGGUAAGGUAACGGCUUACCAAAGCAACGAUGCGUAGCCGGCCUGAGAGGGUGAUCGGCCACACUGGAACUGAGACACGGUCCAGACUCCUACGGGAGGCAGCAGUAGGGAAUCUUCCGCAAUGGGCGAAAGCCUGACGGAGCAACGCCGCGUGAGUGAAGAAGGUCUUCGGAUCGUAAAACUCUGUUAUUAGGGAAGAACAAAUGUGUAAGUAACUAUGCACGUCUUGACGGUACCUAAUCAGAAAGCCACGGCUAACUACGUG